UGGUUAUUGACAGAAAAAAGGUAGCAUAAGGCCGGCCCUUUUAAUUGAAAACUUGUAUGAAAGAUUUGAUGAGAUAUAAACUGUCUCUUUUUUAAAAUUAGAAUUUAAUUUUUUAGUAAAAAAGCUAAAAUUAUUUUAAAAGACGAGAAGACCCUAUAGAGUUUUAUAAUUAAUUAAUUAAAAAUUUAUUUAAAAAUUAAAAAAUAAUUAAUUUUAAUAUUUUAUUGGGGUGAUAAAAAAAUUAAAAUAACUUUUUUUUAAUUUAAAUAAUUGAUGAAUAAUUGAUCCAUUUUUUGAUUAUAAGAAAAAAUUACCUUAGGGAUAACAGCGUAAUAUUUUUUUUUUUAGUUCUUAUAAAAAAAAAAGUUUGCGACCUCGAUGUUGGAUUAAGAUAAAAUUUAAAUGCAAAAGUUUAAAAUUUUGAUCUGUUCGAUCAUUAAAAU
This 443-nucleotide ribosomal RNA is filed under the name Choaspes benjaminii (Indian awkling). RNAcentral's name for it is "partial 16S ribosomal RNA". Lineage: Eukaryota; Metazoa; Arthropoda; Insecta; Lepidoptera; Hesperiidae. The record is from RNAcentral.